GUCAGGAUGUCCGAGCGGUCUAAGGCGCUGCGUUCAGGUCGCAGUCUCCCCUGGAGGCGUGGGUUCGAAUUCCACUUCUGACA
RNAcentral lists this transfer RNA (83 nucleotides) under Petromyzon marinus (sea lamprey). RNAcentral's name for it is "tRNA-Leu (CAG) (tRNA-Leu-CAG-24-1)". It matches the Rfam family "tRNA". From Rfam's summary of the family: Transfer RNA (tRNA) molecules are approximately 80 nucleotides in length. Lineage: Eukaryota; Metazoa; Chordata; Hyperoartia; Petromyzontiformes; Petromyzontidae. The record is from RNAcentral.